Molecule: ribosomal RNA, 515 nt
Filed under: Vairimorpha ceranae
Lineage: Eukaryota; Fungi; Microsporidia; Nosematidae
Description: SSU rRNA
Rfam family: Microsporidia small subunit ribosomal RNA
Source: RNAcentral
AGACGCUAUUCCCUAAGAUUAACCCAUGCAUGUUUUUGACAUUUGAAAAAUGGACUGCUCAGUAAUACUCACUUUAUUUUAUGUAAAUUUUUAAUUAACUACGUUAAAGUGUAGAUAAGAUGUUUACAGUAAGAGUGAGACCUAUCAGCUAGUUGUUAAGGUAAUGGCUUAACAAGGCUGUGACGGGUAACGGUAUUACUUUGUAAUAUUCCGGAGAAGGAGCCUGAGAGACGGCUACUAAGUCUAAGGAUUGCAGCAGGGGCGAAACUUGACCUAUGGAUUUUAUCUGAGGCAGUUAUGGGAAGUAAUAUUAUAUUGUUUCAUAUUUUAAAAGUAUAUGAGGUGAUUAAUUGGAGGGCAAAUCAAGUGCCAGCAGCCGCGGUAAUACUUGUUCCAAGAGUGUGUAUGAUGAUUGAUGCAGUUAAAAAGUCCGUAGUUUAUUUUUUAAGAAGCAAUAUGAGGUGUACUGUAUAGUUGGGAGAAAGAUGAAAUGUGACGACCCUGACUGGACGAAC